GUACACCUAAUUUGAGUUAUGGUCCUUAUAUUAAUUUGAUGGAGGGGUAGAAAGUGUCCUAACAUUUUGGGUUGGAGGGUGGGAAUUUGGGUGAGGUUUAGCCAUUGGGCAGGGGUUGUCUAUCUAUUUAGGUUCUAGUGAUAUAAUAUUUAGGUAAAGGUGGCGUUAGAGAUACAUAUGUAGUUUGUUGCCACCAGAAGUUUUUGGCAUUCUCUGGCCCAAUAGGUAUUCGGGUUAAGGGACAGGUCAUCCUUCUCAUUCUUGUAUUACAGGGCUAGGAAUUUCAGGAAUCCUCUAGCCCCCUUUAAUUAUAUUACCCUCCAGUUUACAUAACAAGCGUGAGAGAAGGAAUGGAUCCAUUUCCUGGGCCUCUACUUAGUAUAAAAUUACCAUCCACCACAACUCACAUGGUUUAGUGGAAUGACACGGGCCAUUCGCAAGGUCUCUACCUGCUUUUUUCUUUGUUCCCUCCACCAACUCUACUGGAUGGAAAAGGUGGGGAAAUAUGCCAUCUACAUGGUUAAUAUUGAAGUUUAUAGACCCAUGUAACGUUACCCAGUGUUCCUCUAUUCCUCCUCUCCAUGUCCCUUACUGGUGCUCUCCUCUUCCUUUCUCUUAAUGGUCCCCUCCCUGUCCUUUAGUGUUCCUUACCCCUCCCCUUCCUGUCCCUCAACUUCCAUUAGUGAUUAUCUCCCCUCUUUUGCCUGUCCCUUCGUGUUCCUCUCCCCUCCCCUCCAUGUCCCUUAAGUGUUCCUCUCUCCUGCCUCCCCUGUCCUUUAGUGUUCCCUCCAACCUCCCUUAGUGAUCCUCUUCUCUGUCCCUUAGUGUUCCUCUUCCCUCCCCUCCAUGUCCCUUAGUGGUCCUCUCCCCUUCCUGUCCAUUAGUGGUCCCCUCCCCUCUCUUCCCUGUCCCUUAGUGUUCCUCUGCCCUCCCCCCUCCUCCAUGUCCCUCAGUGUUCCUAUCCCCUCCCUCCCCUGUCCUUUAGUGUUCCUCUCCCCCUCCCUUGGUGGUCCUAUUCCCUUCCUUUCCUGUCCCUUAGUGUUCCUAUUCCCUCCCUUCCCUGUCACUUAGUGGUUCCCCCCAACCCUCUUAGUGUUCCUUCCCCCCUCCUCUUAGUGUUCCUCUCCCCUCCCUUCCCUCUCUUUUACUGGUCUCCACCCCCCCCCUUAGUGUUUCUUUUCCUGUCCUUUAGUGGUUCUCUCCCCUCUCUUCCCUGUCUCUUAAUGCCCCCAUCCCUUUUAGUGGUCCCGUCUUAGUGUUCCUUUUUCCUUCCCUCCCUUGUCUCUUAGUAUCCCCCUCCCUUAGUGUUCCUCUCUCCCCACCCCCCUUCCUUCCCUUGAUGGUCCAAUCCCCUCCCUUGCAUGCCUCCAGGCUCCUACCUAUUGUGUAGCGUGGCCCGAGCGGAGCGGACCACGGUACAGGAGCUUCUGAUUCCUGUAUCCGGCUGGAC
Molecule: non-coding RNA, 1450 nt
Organism: Pelobates cultripes (western spadefoot toad)
Lineage: Eukaryota; Metazoa; Chordata; Amphibia; Anura; Pelobatidae
Source: the annotation of a GenBank genome assembly